UGGGGAAUUUUGGACAAUGGGGGAAACCCUGAUCCAGCCAUGCCGCGUGAGUGAAGAAGGCCUUCGGGUUGUAAAGCUCUUUCAGCCGGAACGAAACGGUCACGGCUAAUACCUGUGAUCACUGACGGUACCGGAAGAAGAAGCACCGGCUAACUACGUGCCAGCAGCCGCGGUAAUACGUAGGGUGCGAGCGUUAAUCGGAAUUACUGGGCGUAAAGCGUGCGCAGGCGGUUUUGUAAGUCAGAUGUGAAAUCCCCGGGCUUAACCUGGGAACUGCGUUUGAAACUACAAGGCUAGAGUGUAGCAGAGGGGGGUGGAAUUCCACGUGUAGCAGUGAAAUGCGUAGAGAUGUGGAGGAACACCGAUGGCGAAGGCAGCCCCCUGGGUUAACACUGACGCUCAGGCACGAAAGCGUGGGGAGCAAACAGG
RNAcentral lists this ribosomal RNA (429 nucleotides) under uncultured bacterium. RNAcentral's name for it is "bacterial SSU rRNA". It matches the Rfam family "Bacterial small subunit ribosomal RNA", at positions 355 to 776 of the family's 1533-position model. The record is from RNAcentral.